Molecule: ribosomal RNA, 366 nt
Filed under: uncultured Anoxybacillus sp.
Lineage: Bacteria; Bacillati; Bacillota; Bacilli; Caryophanales; Anoxybacillaceae
Description: bacterial SSU rRNA
Rfam family: Bacterial small subunit ribosomal RNA
Source: RNAcentral
UUCGGGGGGACGAGGGUGACGAGGUGGUGCAUGGUUGUCGUCAGCUCGUGUCGUGAGAUGUUGGGUUAAGUCCCGCAACGAGCGCAACCCUCGACCUUAGUUGCCAGCAUUCAGUUGGGCACUCUAAGGUGACUGCCGGCUAAAAGUCGGAGGAAGGUGGGGAUGACGUCAAAUCAUCAUGCCCCUUAUGACCUGGGCUACACACGUGCUACAAUGGGCGGUACAAAGGGUCGCGAACCCGCGAGGGGGAGCCAAUCCCAAAAAGCCGCUCUCAGUUCGGAUUGCAGGCUGCAACUCGCCUGCAUGAAGCCGGAAUCGCUAGUAAUCGCGGAUCAGCAUGCCGCGGUGAAUACGUUCCCGGGCCUU